UACGAAGGGGGCUAGCGUUGCUCGGAAUCACUGGGCGUAAAGGGUGCGUAGGCGGAUCUUUAAGUCAGGGGUGAAAUCCUGGAGCUCAACUCCAGAACUGCCUUUGAUACUGAGGAUCUCGAGUUCGGGAGAGGUGAGUGGAACUGCGAGUGUAGAGGUGAAAUUCGUAGAUAUUCGCAAGAACACCAGUGGCGAAGGCGGCUCACUGGCCCGAUACUGACGCUGAGGCACGAAAGCGUGGGGAGCAAACGGG
Molecule: ribosomal RNA, 253 nt
Filed under: uncultured bacterium
Lineage: Bacteria
Description: partial 16S ribosomal RNA
Rfam family: Bacterial small subunit ribosomal RNA
Source: RNAcentral